GGAGGUUUAUGUCAAUGGUAGAUCAUGUGCUUUAUGUAUACAAGAUCCUGGGUUCAAUCCCCAAUACUGUAA
RNAcentral lists this transfer RNA (72 nucleotides) under Marmota monax (woodchuck). Its description in RNAcentral is "tRNA.Ile". Lineage: Eukaryota; Metazoa; Chordata; Mammalia; Rodentia; Sciuridae. The record is from RNAcentral.